RNAcentral lists this ribosomal RNA (870 nucleotides) under uncultured bacterium. RNAcentral's name for it is "bacterial SSU rRNA". It matches the Rfam family "Bacterial small subunit ribosomal RNA", at positions 1 to 861 of the family's 1533-position model. The record is from RNAcentral.
UAGAGUUUGAUCAUGGCUCAGAUUGAACGCUGGCGGCAGGCCUAACACAUGCAAGGUCGAACGGUUAGCACAGAAAGAGCUUGCUCUUUGGGUGACGAGUGGCGGACGGGUGAGAUAAUGUCUGGGGAUCUGCCCGGCAGAGGGGGAUAACUACUGGAAACGGUAGCUAAUACCGCAUAACCUCGCAAGAGCAAAGAGGGGGACCUUCGGGCCUCUCGCUGUCGGAUGAACCCAGAUGGGAUUAGCUAGUAGGUGAGGUAACGGCUCACCCAGGCGACGAUCCCUAGCUGGUCUGAGAGGAUGACCAGCCACACUGGAACUGAGACACGGUCCAGUCUCCUACGGGAGGCAGCAGUGGGGAAUAUUGCACAAUGGGCGCAAGCCUGAUGCAGCCAUGCCGCGUGUAUGAAGAAGGCCUUCGGGUUGUAAAGUACUUUCAGCGGGGAGGAAGGGUUGUGGGCGAAUACCCCGCGACAUUGACGUUACCCGCAGAAGAAGCACCGGCUAACUCCGUGCCAGCAGCCGCGGUAAUACGGAGGGUGCGAGCGUUAAUCGGAAUUACUGGGCGUAAAGCGCACGCAGGCGGUCUGUCAAGUCAGAUGUGAAAUCCCCGGGCUUAACCUGGGAACUGCAUUUGAAACUGGCAGGCUGGAGUCUUGUAGAGGGGGGUAGAAUUCCAGGUGUAGCGGUGAAAUGCAGUAGAGAUCUGGAGGAAUACCGGUGGCGAAGGCGGCCCCCUGGACAAAGACUGACGCUCAGGUGCGAAAGCGUGGGGAGCAAACAGGAUUAGAUACCCUGGUAGUCCACGCUGUAAACGAUGUCGACUUGGAGGUUGUGCCCUUGAGGCGUGGCUUCCGGAGCUAACGCGUU